CGAGGGGCAGCGGGGUAGUGCUUGCACUACUGCCGGCGACCGGCGCACGGGUGAGUAACACGUAUGGAACCUGCCCGCAGCAGGGGGAUAAGCGGAAGAAAUUCCGUCUAAUACCGCGUAACAACGUUGGGAGGCAUCUCCCGAUGUUUAAAGAUUUAUCGGCUGCGGAUGGCCAUGCGGCGCAUUAACUAGUCGGCGGGGUAACGGCCCACCGAGGCGACGAUGCAUAGGGGUUCUGAGAGGAAGGUCCCCCACACUGGUACUGAGACACGGACCAGACUCCUACGGGAGGCAGCAGUGAGGAAUAUUGGUCAAUGGCCGAGAGGCUGAACCAGCCAAGUCGCGUGAGGGAAGACGGCCCUACGGGUUGUAAACCUCUUUUGUCGGGGAGCAAAGAGAGCCACGUGUGGCUCAUUGAGAGUACCCGAAGAAAAAGCAUCGGCUAACUCCGUGCCAGCAGCCGCGGUAAUACGGAGGAUGCGAGCGUUGUCCGGAUUUAUUGGGUUUAAAGGGUGCGCAGGACGGAGGUGCAAGUCAGCGGUCAAAUUGCGGGGCUCAACCCCGUACUGCCGUUGAAACUGCAUCCCUUGAGUGCGCGAGAAGUAUGCGGAAUGCGUGGUGUAGCGGUGAAAUGCAUAGAUAUCACGGAGAACUCCGAUUGCGAAGGCAGCAUACCGGCGCGCAACUGACGCUCAUGCACGAA
RNAcentral lists this ribosomal RNA (703 nucleotides) under uncultured bacterium. RNAcentral describes it as "bacterial SSU rRNA". It matches the Rfam family "Bacterial small subunit ribosomal RNA", at positions 63 to 757 of the family's 1533-position model. The record is from RNAcentral.